GAAUUUUCCGCAAUGGGCGAAAGCCUGACGGAGCAAUACCGCGUGAGGGAUGAAGGCCUAUGGGUUGUAAACCUCUUUUUUCAGGGAGGAAUCAAUGACGUGUACUUGAAGAAUAAGCAUCGGCUAACUCCGUGCCAGCAGCCGCGGUAAGACGGAGGAUGCAAGUGUUAUCCGGAAUCACUGGGCGUAAAGCGUCUGUAGGUGGUCAAAUAAGUCAACUGUUAAAUCUUGAGGCUCAACCUCAAAAUCGCAGUCGAAACUAUUAGACUAGAGUAUAGUAGGGGUAAAGGGAAUUUCCAGUGGAGCGGUGAAAUGCGUAGAUAUUGGAAGGAACACCGAUGGCGAAGGCACUUUACUGGGCUAUUACUAACACCCAGAGACGAAAGCUAGGGUAGCAAAUGGGAUUAGAUACCCCAGUAGUC
Molecule: ribosomal RNA, 422 nt
Filed under: uncultured cyanobacterium
Lineage: Bacteria; Bacillati; Cyanobacteriota
Description: bacterial SSU rRNA
Rfam family: Bacterial small subunit ribosomal RNA
Source: RNAcentral